AAUCAACGCUGGCGGCGUGCCUCAGACAUGCAAGUCGAACGCGAAAGUCCCCUUCGGGGGGCAAGUAGAGUGGCGCACGGGUGAGUAAUGCUUAGGAAUCUGCCUAGUAGUGGGGGAUAACCCGGGGAAACUCGGGCUAAUACCGCAUACGCCCUACAGGGGAAAGCGGGGGACUUUCGGGCCUCGCGCUAUUAGAUGAGCCUAAGUCCGAUUAGCUAGUUGGUAGGGUAAUGGCCUACCAAGGCGACGAUCGGUAGCUGGUCUGAGAGGACGACCAGCCACACUGGGACUGAGACACGGCCCAGACUCCUACGGGAGGCAGCAGUGGGGAAUAUUGGACAAUGGGCGCAAGCCUGAUCCAGCGAUGCCGCGUGUGUGAAGAAGGCCUGCGGGUUGUAAAGCACUUUCAGUAGGGAAGAAAAGCCGAGU
RNAcentral lists this ribosomal RNA (429 nucleotides) under uncultured bacterium. Its description in RNAcentral is "bacterial SSU rRNA". It matches the Rfam family "Bacterial small subunit ribosomal RNA", at positions 32 to 458 of the family's 1533-position model. The record is from RNAcentral.